This 329-nucleotide non-coding RNA is filed under the name Prototheca bovis. The record is from RNAcentral. Lineage: Eukaryota; Viridiplantae; Chlorophyta; Trebouxiophyceae; Chlorellales; Chlorellaceae.
GAGCAGCGUGGCCGUCCGGCCGCCGCGACCCGACGCGGGCCGCGGGCCCGUGGCAACCCUAAUUCUAACCUCUCGGCGGCGCGCCUCCGUCGCGCCCGUCGGCCGCCCCGUGGCCUUUCCACUGCAGCUUUCACCACGUCGCGUCUCGGCGCGCGCAAAAAACGAAACUGCGCAGCGCGUCGCGGCCGGGCAAGAGGCCCAGGGCGGUGUGCCCCUCCGCGGCUCGGGGGAAGGCCCGCUUCCUCGACGAAGCGGGACGAGGAGGUCAUCUCCGCUCCCCCGCGCACGCCGGCGUCGAGGGACCCCGACCCGCCCACCCCUUUCGCUUU